This 424-nucleotide ribosomal RNA is filed under the name Fusobacteriota bacterium. Its description in RNAcentral is "Fusobacteria bacterium partial 16S ribosomal RNA". It matches the Rfam family "Bacterial small subunit ribosomal RNA", at positions 355 to 776 of the family's 1533-position model. The record is from RNAcentral. Lineage: Bacteria; Fusobacteriati; Fusobacteriota.
UGAGGAAUAUUGGUCAAUGGGCGAGAGCCUGAACCAGCCAAGUAGCGUGCAGGAUGACGGCCCUAUGGGUUGUAAACUGCUUUUAUGUGGGGAUAAAGUGCGUGACGUGUCAUGCAUUGCAGGUACCACAUGAAUAAGGACCUGCUAAUUCCGUGCCAGCAGCCGCGGUAAUACGGAAGGUCCGGGCGUUAUCCGGAUUUAUUGGGUUUAAAGGGAGCGUAGGCUGUCUAUUAAGCGUGUUGUGAAAUUUACCGGCUCAACCGGUGGCUUGCAGCGCGAACUGGUCGACUUGAGUAUGCAGGAAGUAGGCGGAAUUCAUGGUGUAGCGGUGAAAUGCUUAGAUAUCAUGACGAACUCCGAUUGCGCAGGCAGCUUACUGUAGCAUAACUGACGCUGAUGCUCGAAAGUGCGGGUAUCAAACAGG